MicroRNA precursor from Bos taurus (domestic cattle), 54 nucleotides. The record is from Ensembl. NCBI's taxonomy places the organism in Eukaryota, Metazoa, Chordata, Mammalia, Artiodactyla, Bovidae.
GGCAGAGGGGAGGAGAGGAGAAGAGACAUCUUAGAUUUUUUGUUUUCUUUUGCC